Anopheles stephensi (Asian malaria mosquito) is the source of this 830-nucleotide long non-coding RNA. RefSeq lists it as uncharacterized. The transcript is spliced from 2 exons. The record is from RefSeq and is a predicted model, not a curated record. Lineage: Eukaryota; Metazoa; Arthropoda; Insecta; Diptera; Culicidae.
UUGUGCCAUUAGUCGAGUUGAAAUUUUGGUUGGUGUAGGGCAGCGUGUGAUUCGCACUUUAAUAGGUUUGGAACGUUCGGUGUUGAGUGUUUUACGUGUAAUUGUUUAUAAACACAUAUCUGUAUGAUUUACAUAUAUUAACAUCGAUUUUUGAUGCAUUGACAACAAGUACUAUGUAGAAAGUUCAAUAUUAUAAAAAAGUCAAUAAUUUGUGAUGAAGUAUGUUGUGAAUGGUUCGAUGCAUUUGUUGUGAUGAUACCAUGACGUGGUUGCUUAUGCGCACGAAGGAUGAAAGUGAUAUAGAGUGCUCAAAGGAUGGGAAAUUGUUACAGAAAAUGUGCGUAAGCAAAAACCAAUGUUUACCGAUUUUAAAGUGCCAAAGUAAUAAAACGAAUCAGCAAUGUGAUAAAGUAAAUCUGCUUUCUAACAGCAACGUUAAUAAGACUGGUUAUCAGUGAUAUUACACCAAAGAAUUGUGAUGUCUAAUAUUUGGAUGGAAAUAAGUAGAACGACCUGCAAAGCGAGAGCAUCAAACAUUUAUCAGCCUUGGAAACUGAUGACAUUUGUUCGAUAUUGAUUUAUCGAAAGAACCUGGAUGCACUCCAAAACCCGAUGACAGCUGAUCAACACACCCGGAAAAAAGGAACAAGAUUCUUCUGUGGGCCAUUCCAUUAGGUCAAUAUUUUGACUCAACAGCAAGUCACUUACUACCACUGAAAACAUAUUCAAAAAAAGCAAAGGAUAUGUCUCACAAAACGAAAAGAAAGAUCCUCGUUUUCUAGAUGUUAAAUAAUUGAAAAAAAUAAAAGGAAUGUUUCUAUUCAAACAAA